Molecule: unclassified non-coding RNA, 229 nt
Filed under: Hevea brasiliensis (rubber tree)
Lineage: Eukaryota; Viridiplantae; Streptophyta; Magnoliopsida; Malpighiales; Euphorbiaceae
Source: RNAcentral
AAGCAAUUCCCGAUUCCUUCCUUUUAUGAUUCAAAUGGCUCGUCACCUCCUGGAUCAAGGGAGCCCAUCUCAACGUUCUACAAUGGCUAAAUCUGUUUCGACCUAUUUGUCCUCGUCCACUGUAGAUUCGCGACCAUUCUCUCCAGGGUUGCAACCUUCAGUUGCAACUGAGGAAACUGUUCAGUUUAUGAUGGUAAACUCACUUCUUUCAGAGUCUUACGAAUCCUGG